UUUACAUCUUCAUAAUCAAGAGAAUAGAAAAAAUUCCCCUAAUUCACAAAACAUAACCACCUUACCUACUAAACGAGUAAUAGUAGAACCACUCUGCUCCAACGCUAACCGAAUUGCUCCAGCCCUUAACUUCAACAAAGAAACGGUCGAUCGAUUUAACAAGAAUCCAUAAAUCAAAAUACACCAGAGUUACGAAACUUACCACCAACGCACGAAAGCAAAAUGAGGAUGACAAAAUGCGGCAACAAAUGUUAAAGAAGGAAUGGACUAAUGGAGAAACCAAAGCAGAGAGAAGAGAAGAAAAAAUUCAACAAGCAGUCGACAACAAACAAAAAAAAAGAAAAUAAAAGUCGGCAAAAGAGGAUUGAAUGAGAAUUUCGACAAGAGUGAAAGAAAAGAAAAUCAAGACUGAAGAGGGAAAUCAGAGAAUUUCGGCAAUAUACAAGGUGACACAUAAAAAAAAUUAGAAUUUGGAAUUGGGGAGAGAAAAAACAAAUUUUCCAAAAUCAGAUAACCCCUCAAUCCCUCAAUCUGCUCCCACACUCCCCCACUACAACUCAAACACCUCAAAACCGUCCACCACUCCUCUCCCUAUCCAAAAUCCCUUAAUUUUCUGUCCUCACUUCCCACUACACCUCUGCCACAUCGGUAUUUUAGCUCCACUCAAACUCUCCACGACGCCACUAGCAAAAAUAUAUCCCCUUUGCUAGUGCAAGGACUUGAACUCUAGACCUCCCAC
This 739-nucleotide long non-coding RNA is filed under the name Gossypium raimondii (Peruvian cotton). RNAcentral's name for it is "long non-coding RNA (GRAI_LNC001350)". The record is from RNAcentral. Lineage: Eukaryota; Viridiplantae; Streptophyta; Magnoliopsida; Malvales; Malvaceae.